GUGGCGAACGGGUGAGUAACACGUGGGUAUCUGCCUCUGGGUGGGGGAUAACAGUGGGAAACUACUGCUAAUACCGCAUGACACCUGAGGGUCAAAGGCGCAAGUCGCCUGGAGAGGAGCCCGCGUACGAUUAGCUUGUUGGCGGGGUAAUGGCCCACCAAGGCUACGAUCGUUAGCUGGUCUGAGAGGAUGAUCAGCCACACUGGGACUGAGACACGGCCCAGACUCCUACGGGAGGCAGCAGUGGGGAAUAUUGGACAAUGGGCGCAAGCCUGAUCCAGCAAUGCCGCGUGAGUGAAGAAGGUCUUCGGAUUGUAAAGCUCUUUCGACGGGGACGAUGAUGACGGUACCCGUAGAAUAAGCACCGGCUAACUCUGUGCCAGCAGCCGCGGUAAUACAGAGGGUGCGAGCGUUAAUCGGAUUUACUGGGCGUAAAGCGUGCGUAGGCGGCUUUUUAAGUCGGAUGUGAAAUCCCCGAGCUUA
Molecule: ribosomal RNA, 483 nt
Filed under: uncultured Acetobacteraceae bacterium
Lineage: Bacteria; Pseudomonadati; Pseudomonadota; Alphaproteobacteria; Acetobacterales; Acetobacteraceae
Description: bacterial SSU rRNA
Rfam family: Bacterial small subunit ribosomal RNA
Source: RNAcentral